Long non-coding RNA from Limulus polyphemus (Atlantic horseshoe crab), 948 nucleotides. RefSeq lists it as uncharacterized. The transcript has 3 exons. Lineage: Eukaryota; Metazoa; Arthropoda; Merostomata; Xiphosura; Limulidae. The record is from RefSeq and is a predicted model, not a curated record.
UGUUGAGGGGUGCAACCAAAUACUCUUGAUAUUUUCGUCUUCGGCGCCGUUUAAAUACAAAAAUACUAUGUCACCUUCAUCACUGGACAAAAUUUUCGUCAAUGGUCGAACAAAUUUUUUUAUUAUUUCCGUGUGAACUAGGUGUGUUUGAAAUAUGUUGAAGAUCUCUGAAGGCUUGGCCUGGUGGUUAAGGUGUUCGCACUGGGCGCUAACUCGAAGGAGGGCUCAGAUUCCCUGAUGGACUAACAAAGUGUACUAAUGGCUGGUUGCCUGCAGCCUUUGCAGAUGGGAUGAACAGCUCCAUAGUGCCUGUUGAACGUGUGCAAACAGUCGACUACUCGGAAAUCACUGAACAACAGAUCCAGUGUAAAAGGUUACCACACUUAGGAGAAAAGGGAGAGAAAACCAAGUUUGCUUAAAGCCAAUGGUUACUUGAAGUUGAAGGCAGAUGGUAAGUUUUUUUGUCCUGUUAGCUGAGCUUCACUAGGCUGUACUGGAAUUUUGCCUUGGAUUGGAUCAAGGAAAAUACUGUAGUUUAGUGCAUAAAGUUUAUAAAAAUGAUACUGGAAUGUUAAACUGACAGUUCUGUGUGUGUAUGUAAUUGUACUUGUUUUUGUUUUUUUGGUGAAUGUUAACUAGUUAUAACAGUGUGGUUAUUAACACACUUGCUAUGGGCUCAGCGGAAUCAGUCAGGUUCAUGACCCCAAACUGACAUUAAUAAUUUCUAUUCUAUAACUUCUAAUACAUUUCGUGUAUCUUCAUGAAAUUUUGUAAGCUUUCAGUGAGCACUAAGAGUCUUUUACAGACAAAAAUUUAAAAUUUCUUUAUGAAGUAUUUUCACUAAAUACUUCUCCAUGAAUAUAUGGUGUCAAGAUAUUGACUUUGCUUCAUCUGAAAAUUCUCAAAUGCAUUUGAGUAAUCUCUAAAACCUCCUCAAUAAAUUUCAGA